GGGUGCGUAACACGUGAACAAUCUACCUUAAAGUGGGGAAUAGCUCGCCGAAAGGCGAAUUAAUACCGCAUACGGUUGGGACUCGCAUGAGGCCCAUACCAAAGUCGGGGACCGCAAGGCCUGACGCUAUAAGAGGAGUUCGCGGCCUAUCAGCUAGUUGGCGAGGUAACGGCUCACCAAGGCUAAGACGGGUAGCUGGUCUGAGAGGAUGAUCAGCCACACUGGAACUGAGACACGGUCCAGACACC
This 248-nucleotide ribosomal RNA is filed under the name uncultured bacterium. RNAcentral describes it as "partial 16S ribosomal RNA". It matches the Rfam family "Bacterial small subunit ribosomal RNA", at positions 104 to 339 of the family's 1533-position model. The record is from RNAcentral.